UUCCAGACUCCUACGGGAGGCAGCAGUGGGGAAUAUUGGGCAAUGGGCGCAAGCCUGACCCAGCAACGCCGCGUGAAGGAAGAAGGCUUUCGGGUUGUAAACUUCUUUUAAGAGGGAAGAGCAGAAGACGGUACCUCUUGAAUAAGCCACGGCUAACUACGUGCCAGCAGCCGCGGUAAUACGUAGGUGGCAAGCGUUGUCCGGAUUUACUGGGUGUAAAGGGCGUGUAGCCGGGCUGACAAGUCAGAUGUGAAAUCCGGGGGCUCAACCCCCGAACUGCAUUUGAAACUGUUGGUCUUGAGUAUCGGAGAGGCAGGCGGAAUUCCUAGUGUAGCGGUGAAAUGCGUAGAUAUACGGAGGAACACCAGUGGCGAAGGCGGAUUGCUGGACAGUAACUGACGCUGAGGCGCGAAAGCGUGGGGAGCAAACAGGAUUAGAUACCCCCGUA
RNAcentral lists this ribosomal RNA (448 nucleotides) under uncultured bacterium. RNAcentral describes it as "bacterial SSU rRNA". It matches the Rfam family "Bacterial small subunit ribosomal RNA", at positions 329 to 792 of the family's 1533-position model. The record is from RNAcentral.